GGCAACAAAUUUGUUUUGAUUCACCAAGAGACGAGUGCCUAGUAAAGGAGGAGAUUAGUCAGAUUACAAUCUUUUGUGGGAACACAAUAAUCACUCAGUUUGACUCGCCAUUGAAUUCACACGUUAGCUCUGUAGUGAGGUCAUCUCAGCUUAAUUAUAAGAGAGAACAUACUCUUGUUUUGGCUUUUGUCCAUGUAAGCAUCGGUGAAUAUCAGAUGCUAACACUCAACUAAAUACUAUUGUCAUACUUGUCAACAAACUUCUGGAACCUUUUAAAUAGGUCCAAAUCUAUUUGCACAUUAACCCACUAAUAUUCUCCACCUUAACAAAUAAAUUCAAAUGAUCUACUUAUUUACAGCUGGCAGUUGGAAUCACCUUGACUAGCAUGUCAGCCGAAUUGACAACAGUAUGAAUUUUGGCCACAUUCGCAGCCCCUUACGAAUGUGCUUGGUUUUUCAUAAUAUGCUUGAAUCUUGAUCAAUUGUAUUGCACUCAAAUUAUCACAAAACACACGCAAUCUUCUGAUUAAGCCAUUAAAAGGAUCCUUGAGCCACACAGAGUCCUUGAUGAUGGCUUCAGUUGCUACAACAAACUCAGUUUUAGUAGAUGAUAAAGCAACCAUAUAUAUGCUGCACUCAAAAUUGCUUAAUUUCUAGUUGAUCAGGCAAUUGUUGGACACAAAUAAGUAUCAUGUGAUUAACUUUCUUCUAUAUAAUAUAGAUCACCAAUAAAGUCAGUGUCUACUUAUCUCAUGAUUUUACUUAGUUCAUGCUUGAAAUUGAAGAUCAACUAAAGAUUAUGUCACAGAAUUAAAAAUUACGGCUUAAGAGUUUCUGUACCUGACUAGGUUAAAAUGGAAUCCUACAAAAAAUAUAUCGCAUAGAAUUGUUAUUUGUAAUCUAGAAGAAUUUAUUUCAAGAAAUAUUUAAGUUAAAAUCUAAGGUUAGAUAUGUGCUGUAAAAGUGGCCAUGUCACUUACAUUGUAAAAGUCAAGUAGUUGUAGAAUGUGGUAGGAAAAUAAGGUUUGUGAUACAUAUCGGUGGGUAGUUAGAAUGAUGAUAAAAGAAUAAGUUCGUUAAAAGUUAUGGUUAAUAAAGUGUUUGUCAAAAUUGGUUCUAAGUCUUAGGGUGGGUAAAAAAUAAGUUACUUAAAAGUUAUGGUCAGUAAAGUGUUUGUCAAAGUCGGUUCUAAGGUUUAGAUCGGAUUAGGAUUAAUCCGAUUGGAUUUUAAGUUAAUCGAAUUGGGCAAAAAGUCAUCUGAACUCAAUUCGAAUUUUUGAUUCUAUCCUAUUCGAUCCAAAAUAUAUUUGGAUUGGAACAGAUAGGACAAAAAAUUCGGAUUGAGUUUGGAUCAAAUUCGGAUUAAAAAGCAUUCAGGUCAUAUGGAUAUCCAUUGUAUAUCUCUAUUGCCUUAUUAAUUUCAAAAUCUUUUUUUUUUGACUGAACCAAUCAAGCAAAACAAUAAAUCUCAUUACAUAAUUUCAUUUCAAACUUUUUCCAUUAAUUAUUUAAAAUAAUAUAUUCAAAUACCAUGAAAAACUUGUUGAUGGUGGCUGUCAAGGUGAAGGAAGCUGUAGCAGUUGCAGUAACUAGUGGAGCACGCGGCAGCAACCAGCAGCGGUCGAGGUGCUGCAAAUCGCAUCGGGAACGUCGCGGUAGCAGCGAUGGCUUAGCUUCAUGCGGUUGCGUCAGUGAUUGCUAGCUACUGCUUUGUUCAGUUGCUAUUUGGCGUCUUGAUGUCUCCGAUCUCUGAGGCCCGAGCUCUAUGUGCAUGUGCUUGUGUGUGGUGCAAGUGUGUGGUGUGACUUUGUUUCAUUAAUUUAUUUUUUUAAUUUUACAGGCAACUCGAUCGGUUUUCACCCG
RNAcentral lists this long non-coding RNA (1862 nucleotides) under Citrus x clementina. RNAcentral's name for it is "Citrus clementina (C. clementina) long non-coding RNA (CCLE_LNC001951)". Lineage: Eukaryota; Viridiplantae; Streptophyta; Magnoliopsida; Sapindales; Rutaceae. The record is from RNAcentral.